UGGAUCACCUCCUAACAGGGAGACAACAAAAUGUUUGUAAUAAAUUUUGUCACCUUAGGUCGAUCGGAGCCUCUGAUUUUCGAAACUCUCGAAGAUUUCAAUUUCCUAAGUUUUUUCUAGGUCACACCCAUUUAUUCCCUGGGCCAUUAGCUCAGGUGGUUAGAGCGCACCCCUGAUAAGGGUGAGGUCCCUGGUUCAAGUCCAGGAUGGCCCAUAUCUCUAUUGGGGGUAUAGCUCAGUUGGUAGAGCGCCUGCUUUGCAAGCAGGAUGUCAGCGGUUCGAGUCCGCUUACCUCCACUGAAUACCACCUAAUUCAUUUAAAGGGAAAAUUUAUCUGGGUAUGACUUAAAUCUGGGAGAAUCUAGCUUCCUGUUAAUUUAAUUAAUAAGAUGCUGGAUUCAAUGAAUUUCAUAAUUCAAUGAUUCCAGAGAACCUUGACAACUGCAUAGAUUUAAUUUUUCAAGACAAUAAGCAUCUUUUAAGAUGCAGAUUUAUUAUUGGUGCUUAUGCAUUAAUAACAAUUCUAUUGAGCUGAUGCUUCAAAUAUUUUGAAGUCAUUGGUCAAGCUACAAAGGGCUCAUGGAGGAUACCUAGGCACACAGAGGCGAUGAAGG
RNAcentral lists this transfer RNA (614 nucleotides) under uncultured Prochlorococcus sp. RNAcentral describes it as "partial contains 16S ribosomal RNA, 16S-23S ribosomal RNA intergenic spacer, and 23S ribosomal RNA". The stretch from base 225 to 297 matches the Rfam family "tRNA". Lineage: Bacteria; Bacillati; Cyanobacteriota; Cyanophyceae; Synechococcales; Prochlorococcaceae. The record is from RNAcentral.